CCUGACCUCAAAUCAGGUAGGACUACCCGCUGAACUUAA
This 39-nucleotide ribosomal RNA is filed under the name Amanita muscaria (fly agaric). RNAcentral describes it as "partial 28S ribosomal RNA". Lineage: Eukaryota; Fungi; Basidiomycota; Agaricomycetes; Agaricales; Amanitaceae. The record is from RNAcentral.